AUGGUCGUAGGCUCAGGCGCGGACAUCGCUAACCUUAAGUUCCUCCUCCUCUGCUUCCAACAAAUGUCUGGCCUCAAGAUCAACUUCGACAAGAGUGAUGUGAUGGUAAUGGGCUACCCUCCGGUGAAGGCCUUCGACAUCGCCAACCACCUCAAUGGCCGCCUUGGUUCCUUCCCAAUGACUUACUUGGGAAUGCCCAUUAGUGACUCUCGGCUUACCGUUGCGGAGUUGCGUCCGACCGUAGCAAAGCUGCAAACGCACAUUGAGCCAUGGCAGGGUAGGUGGCUGUCAAAGGCGGCUUGAACGAUUCUCAUCAACUCCUCCCUCUCUAGCCUCCUCUUGUUCCUCAUGAGCUUCUACAGCCUUCACGAGACCCUUCACCAUGAGAUCGCCAAGGUUCAAUAUCGCUUCUAUUGGGCUGGCGAUAACAAUAAGCAAAAAUACCAUAUGGUUAGCUGGCCAGACAUCUGCAAGCCCCGGGAUCAAGGAGGCCUUGGUAUUAUGUUCUCUAAGAGCAUGAAUAUUGCCCUCCUUUCCCGUUGGCUCUGGCGCAUCUCGCAAGGACACGGCGGUCUCUGGUCAGACAUCAUCCGGAACAAGUACCUGCAUGGGCAACCCCUGGCCUUCUGUCAAAGGUCCGGCGGUUCCCAAUUCUGGUAG
This 660-nucleotide ribosomal RNA is filed under the name Triticum aestivum (bread wheat). Its description in RNAcentral is "partial small subunit ribosomal RNA". Lineage: Eukaryota; Viridiplantae; Streptophyta; Magnoliopsida; Poales; Poaceae. The record is from RNAcentral.